UAUGAAGGGGGCUAGCGUUGCUCGGAAUCACUGGGCGUAAAGCGCACGUAGGCCGAUUGUUAAGUCAGGGGUGAAAUCCUGGAGCUCAACUCCAGAACUGCCCUUGAUACUGACGGUCUCGAGUCCGGGAGAGGUGAGUGGAACUGCGAGUGUAGAGGUGAAAUUCGUAGAUAUCAAGCGGAACACCGGUGGCGAAGGCGGCCUUCUGGACAGUGACUGACGCUGAGACGCGAAAGCGUGGGGAGCAAACAGG
This 253-nucleotide ribosomal RNA is filed under the name uncultured bacterium. RNAcentral describes it as "partial 16S ribosomal RNA". It matches the Rfam family "Bacterial small subunit ribosomal RNA", at positions 524 to 776 of the family's 1533-position model. The record is from RNAcentral.